Molecule: ribosomal RNA, 494 nt
Filed under: uncultured bacterium
Lineage: Bacteria
Description: partial 16S ribosomal RNA
Rfam family: Bacterial small subunit ribosomal RNA
Source: RNAcentral
GACGAACGCUGGCGGCGUGCUUAACACAUGCAAGUCGAACGGUGAAGCGCCUUCCUUUUUGGUGGGUGUGGAUGAGUGGCGAACGGGUGAGUAACACGUGAGUAACCUGCCCCCUUCUUCUGGAUAACCGCAUGAAAGUGUGGCUAAUACGGGAUAUUCUGGGUCUGUCGCAUGAUGGGUCUGGGAAAGAUAUUGUUUCGGUGGGGGAUGGGCUCGCGGCCUAUCAGCUUGUUGGUGGGGUGAUGGCCUACCAAGGCGGUGACGGGUAGCCGGCCUGAGAGGGUGGACGGUCACACUGGGACUGAGACACGGCCCAGACUCCUACGGGAGGCAGCAGUGGGGAAUAUUGCACAAUGGGCGCAAGCCUGAUGCAGCGACGCCGCGUGAGGGAUGGAGGCCUUCAGGUUGUGAACCUCUUUCGCCAGUGAAGCAGGCCUGCCUCGUUUGUGGGUGGGUUGACGGUAGCUGGAUAAGAAGCGCCGGCUAACUACGUG